Molecule: long non-coding RNA, 220 nt
Filed under: Vigna radiata
Lineage: Eukaryota; Viridiplantae; Streptophyta; Magnoliopsida; Fabales; Fabaceae
Description: long non-coding RNA (VRAD_LNC011386)
Source: RNAcentral
CCUAGCGAUUUCUGUUGUCGUUGGGCAUAUUGAUCCACCCGCUAUCGGGCCGCUAUCGGACCACCCAUUAAAAAGUCUAAUCCCACGCUCGAGAUGUAUAUACCUCGGCGUGAGGGGGGUGUGUUGGAAGUCCCACAUCGACUAGAGAUGAGGCCAUUUAAGUGUAUAUAAGUGGGUGCAAACCUCACCCUACAAGCCGGUUUUGUGGGGUUGAGUUAGG